This 305-nucleotide ribosomal RNA is filed under the name uncultured bacterium. Its description in RNAcentral is "bacterial SSU rRNA". It matches the Rfam family "Bacterial small subunit ribosomal RNA", at positions 338 to 660 of the family's 1533-position model. The record is from RNAcentral.
CCUACGGGACGCAGCAGUGGGGAAUAUUGCACAAUGGGGGAAACCCUGAUGCAGCGACGCCGCGUGAGCGAAGAAGUAUUUCGGUAUGUAAAGCUCUAUCAGCAGGGAAGAAAAUGACGGUACCUGACUAAGAAGCCCCGGCUAAAUACGUGCCAGCAGCCGCGGUAAUACGUAGGGGGCAAGCGUUAUCCGGAAUCACUGGGUGUAAAGGGAGCGUAGACGGCUGAGCAAGCCUGAAGUGAAAGGCGGAGGCCCAACCCCCGGACUGCUUUGGGAACUGUACGGCUGGCGUGCAGGAGAGGUAG